Molecule: ribosomal RNA, 484 nt
Filed under: uncultured bacterium
Lineage: Bacteria
Description: partial 16S ribosomal RNA
Rfam family: Bacterial small subunit ribosomal RNA
Source: RNAcentral
AUUGAACGCUGGCGGCAGGCCUAACACAUGCAAGUCGAGCGGAUGAAGGGAGCUUGCUCCUGGAUUCAGCGGCGGACGGGUGAGUAAUGCCUAGGAAUCUGCCUGGUAGUGGGGGAUAACGUCCGGAAACGGGCGCUAAUACCGCAUACGUCCUGAGGGAGAAAGUGGGGGAUCUUCGGACCUCACGCUAUCAGAUGAGCCUAGGUCGGAUUAGCUAGUUGGUGGGGUAAAGGCCUACCAAGGCGACGAUCCGUAACUGGUCUGAGAGGAUGAUCAGUCACACUGGAACUGAGACGCGGUCAUGACUCCUACGGGAGGCAGCAGUGGGGAAUAUUGGACAAUGGGCGAAAGCCUUAUCCAGCCAUGCCGCGUGUGUGAAGAAGGUCUUCGGAUUGUAAAGCACUUUAAGUUGGGAGGAAGGGCAGUAAGUUAAUACCUUGCUGUUUUGACGUUACCAACAGAAUAAGCACCGGCUAACUUCGUG